This 468-nucleotide ribosomal RNA is filed under the name uncultured bacterium. RNAcentral describes it as "partial 16S ribosomal RNA". It matches the Rfam family "Bacterial small subunit ribosomal RNA", at positions 28 to 507 of the family's 1533-position model. The record is from RNAcentral.
GACGAACGCUGGCGGCGUGCUUAACACAUGCAAGUCGAACGGAAAGACCCUGCUUUUGUUGGGUGCUCGAGUGGCGAACGGGUGAGUGACACGUGAGUAACCUGCCCUUGUCAUUGGGAUAACUUCAGGGAACUCGGGCUAAUACCGGGUAGGAUCUCCUGCUGCGUGGUGGGGGUUGGUAAGUUUCGGCGUUUGUGGAUGGACUCGCGGCUUACCGGCUUGUUGGUGGGGUAGUGGCGUACCAAGCCUUUGACGGGUAGCCGGCCUGGGAGGUUGACCGGCCACAUGGGGCCUGCGAGACGGCCCAGAAUCCUACCGGACGCAGCAGUGGGGAAUAUGGCACAAUGGGCCGAAGCCUGAUGUAGCAACGCUGCGUGCGGGAUGACGGCCUUCGGGUUGUAAACCGCUGUCGCCGGUGACGAGGAGUUAGUGACGGUAAUGGGUAAGGAAGCACCGGCUAACUACGUG